This is a long non-coding RNA of Cercocebus atys (sooty mangabey), 2517 nucleotides long. RefSeq lists it as uncharacterized. NCBI's taxonomy places the organism in Eukaryota, Metazoa, Chordata, Mammalia, Primates, Cercopithecidae. The record is from RefSeq and is a predicted model, not a curated record. The transcript is spliced from 2 exons.
GGCAGAGGUUGCAGUAAGCCAAAGUUGUGCCACUGAACUCCAGCCUGGGCGACAGCAGGAGACUCCAUCUCGAAAAACAAGUCCUGACAAUGCACCACGAUUUAGUACUAGUAAUAUUAAGACACCAUCUUGUGACUGGGAAAGGGAAAUGAGAGAGAAGGAAAUACUAGAAGAGAAGAGAACAUUGGAAUACAGAGCAGAAAACAGUAAAACUUUUAGCUUCCCCAGUCUUCUGUUAACUCCAGAAGUGACGCAUUUGCUUAAGGAUGUCCCUUCCCACUUACAGUCUCAGUCAAAUACAGAUACAGGGAAAAUAUUCUCAGCCACUCCAAUAAAGGUAGCGAUAAACCCGAAGAAACCCCUCCCCAACCUUAAACAGUAUUCUCUAUGACAGGAAGUUAUAGAUGGAAUCGCCCCUACCAUACAAGAUUAACUGAGAAGGAGACUCACUAUUCCCUGCACAAGCCCCUGCAACAGCCCUAUAUUCUCUGUAAAAACAAAAACAAAAAUAAACAAGCCAGAGGGGAUGGACAUUUAUACAGGACUUGAGGACAGUAGGUAAUAUUGCAAUACCCAGACACCCAAUAAUCCCCAACCCACAUAUCCUUCUAUCAGCUAUACCCACUACCAGCCAGUAUUUCUCAGUUGCAGAUCUCUGCCGUGCCUUCUUUAGUAUUCUUGUAGAUCCAGACAGCCGGUAUUUGUUUAGCUUUACUUGGAAAGAAGGGCAAUAUAUGUGGACUGUAAUGCCUCAAGAGUAUACAGAAAGUCCCACUUACUUUUCCCAAAUAUUAAAAGCUGAUUUAGAGGAUUUAAUUUUUCCCCAGGGCUCAACACUCAUUCAGUAUGUAGAUGACCUUCUCCUUUGUUCAGACACACCAUCUUCCUCCCAUGAAGAUAGUCUAUAUUUACUCAAACAGCCACCAAGGGACACAAAGUGUCCAAAGACAAACUUCAGCUAUGCUUGCUGCAAGUUAAGUAUUUGGGGGCAUAUUAUCUCAGCCAAAGGACUGAGGAUUAACCCUGACAGAGUGAGAAGAAUUUUAGCUUUCCCAAUGCCUGUCACUAAUAAACAAUUUAGAGGAGUCUGGGUCCUGCCUGGCUAUUGUAGAAACUGGAUUCCAAAUUCUUUAUGACUCAAACUCUGUAGGCAUACCUAAAAAAUAAACAACUCGAUCCUGUCUUGUGGAGUCCUGAGGGACAAUCAGCUGUACAACAAAUAAAGGAAAUUCUAACUAAUGCCCCAGCCUUAGGGCACCCAAACUACAAACUGCCUUUCUCCCUUUUCAUACACGAAACUGGAGGUAAUGCCUCCAGGGUACUGAUCCAGAAACAUGGUGAUCAUCAGAGACCUCUAGGCUAUUAUAGCCAACACCUGGACCCGGUGGCGAGAGGGUUGCCUCCUUGUGUGAGAGUAAUAGCAACCAUGGCCCUUCCGUACACGUCUGUUGGAGAAAUAAUUAUGGGUUCGCCCCUUACCAUUUCUGUGCCACAUUCUCUUGAGACCCUUCUAAACUCUCAUCAUACUCAACGUGUGUCUGUCAACCGGUUAGCUUCUUAUCAAAUUUUGCUUGUACCAUCUUCCAAUAUUACUACUUCCCAGUAUAAUAAUCUUAAUCCGGCCACUCUCUUGCCAGGCCCUUCCCACAAGGCCCCUCGUGACUGUGUUCUGAUGACUGACUGACUUCUCACCUCCAGGACAGACCUGCAAGAGAUGCCACUGGAUAAUGCUAAACUAGAAUGGUAUACAGAUGGCUCUUAUUGAAGAGGAGAGGAUGGAAAUUUUGGAGCAGGAUAUGCUCUGGUUUCCUUACUAGAGGUAAUUAAAGCUGGUCCUCUUCCCCAAGUGAGAUCAUCUCAAGUGGCCGAGUUGAUUGCCCUGACCCAAGCUUGUCAACUGGCAAAAUAUAAGGCUGCAAACAUUUACACUGACAGCUGCUAUGCUUUCGGGGUUUCCAUGACUUUGGAUGCUAUGGAAAGACAGAGGAUAUUUAGCCUCCUCAGGCCAACCCAUAAAAAAUGUACAGUAAGUAUCAGAGCUGUUAGAAGCUAUUCUAAAACCCAAAUGUUUGGCAAUUAUAAAAAUCCCAGUCACUCAAAAUUAGACACCACAGAAAGGGUAACAAUCGGCUGAUGCCACAGCUAAAAAAGCAGCCCCCGAGCCACCAGCCCCGAUCCAGGAAAUGGCCAUAAAACCCGAAACACUUAGAAACAUGGUGAAAGAAACGCAGAGCAUAGCUCCUACAAAGAGAAAUCUGCUUGGAAACGGUCAGGGAGAUAUUUUUCUCCUGAAACUGAAAUAUAGUAUGGACCUAAUAACCCAUUAUUCCAGUGGGAUGCCAGGUGCCCCUUAUGGAAUAUGUCCAUAAUCUAACCCAUUGUAAUCCAGAUAAAAUGAUAUCCCGCUAUAAACGGUAUUACUGGAAGCCGCCCUUCACCGUGGUAUAAACGGUACUACUGGAAGCCGCCCUUCACUGUGGUAUAAACAGUAUUUCUGGAAACUGCCCUUCACUGUGG